CAGCAGCCACGGUAAAACAGAGGGUGCGAGCGUUAAUCGGAUUUACUGGGCGUAAAGCGUGCGUAGGCGGCUUUUUAAGUCGGAUGUGAAAUCCCCGAGCUUAACUUGGGAAUUGCAUUCGAUACUGGGAAGCUAGAGUAUGGGAGAGGAUGGUACAAUUCCAGGUGUAGCGGUGAAAUGCGUAGAGAUCUGGAGGAAUACCGAUGGCGAAGGCAGCCAUCUGGCCUAAUACUGACGCUGAGGUACGAAAGCAUGGGGAGCAAACAGGAUUAGAUACCCGCGUAGUCCCUGUCUCUUAUAC
RNAcentral lists this ribosomal RNA (301 nucleotides) under uncultured bacterium. Its description in RNAcentral is "partial 16S ribosomal RNA". It matches the Rfam family "Bacterial small subunit ribosomal RNA", at positions 509 to 807 of the family's 1533-position model. The record is from RNAcentral.